CUACGGGGGGCUCCAGUGAGGAAUAUUGGACAAUGGGGGAAACCCUGAUCCAGCAAUGCCGCGUGUGUGAAGAAGGCCUGCGGGUUGUAAAGCACUUUCGGUUGGGAGGACUGCUUCUAGCACUAAUAUUGUUGGAAGUUGACGUUACCUUCAGAAGAAGCACCGGCUAACUCCGUGCCAGCAGCCGCGGUAAUAGCGGAGGGUGCAAGCGUUAAUCGGAAUUACUGGGCGUAAAGCGCGCGUAGGCGGCUAGAUCAGUCGGGUGUGAAAGCCCCGGGCUUAACCUGGGAACUGCAUCCGAUACUGUCUAGCUUGAGUACAGGAGAGGAGAGUGGAAUUCCACAUGUAGCGGUGAAAUGCGUAGAUAUGUGGAGGAACACCAAUGGCGAAGGCAGCUCUCUGGCCUGAUACUGACGCUGAGGUGCGAAAGCGUGGGGAGCAAACAGGAUUAGAUACCCGGGUAGUC
This 466-nucleotide ribosomal RNA is filed under the name uncultured bacterium. RNAcentral describes it as "partial 16S ribosomal RNA". It matches the Rfam family "Bacterial small subunit ribosomal RNA", at positions 339 to 795 of the family's 1533-position model. The record is from RNAcentral.